This is a regulatory RNA element of Erwinia billingiae, 100 nucleotides long. It matches the Rfam family "Tryptophan operon leader". Rfam says of the family: At least 6 amino acid operons are known to be regulated by attenuation. NCBI's taxonomy places the organism in Bacteria, Pseudomonadati, Pseudomonadota, Gammaproteobacteria, Enterobacterales, Erwiniaceae. The record is from Rfam.
ACUGGUUGGUGGCGCACUUCUCCCUGAAUGGGCGAAGGAGUCAUGCACGCAACCAGACGUUGUGCAGAUACCCAGGCCCGCCAAAAGCGGGCCUUUUUUU